Molecule: ribosomal RNA, 497 nt
Filed under: uncultured bacterium
Lineage: Bacteria
Description: partial 16S ribosomal RNA
Rfam family: Bacterial small subunit ribosomal RNA
Source: RNAcentral
GAUGAACGCUGGCGGCGUGCCUAAUACAUGCAAGUCGAGCGAACAGAUGAGGAGCUUGCUCCUCUGACGUUAGCGGCGGACGGGUGAGUAACACGUGGAUAACCUACCUAUAAGACUGGGAUAACUUCGGGAAACCGGAGCUAAUACCGGAUAAUAUAUUGAACCGCAUGGUUCAAUAGUGAAAGACGGUUUUGCUGUCACUUAUAGAUGGAUCCGCGCCGCAUUAGCUAGUUGGUAAGGUAACGGCUUACCAAGGCAACGAUGCGUAGCCGACCUGAGAGGGUGAUCGGCCACACUGGAACUGAGACACGGUCCAGACUCCUACGGGAGGCAGCAGUAGCGAAUCUUCCGCAAUGGGCGAAAGCCUGACGGAGCAACGCCGCGUGAGUGAUGAAGGUCUUCGGAUCGUAAAACUCUGUUAUUAGGGAAGAACAAAUGUGUAAGUAACUAUGCACGUCUUGACGGUACCUAAUCAGAAAGCCACGGCUAGCUACGUG